GUCCACGCAGUAAACGAUGCAGACUAGGCGUGGGGACUUGACCCCUCCGUGCCGGAGCUAACGCGGUAAGUCUGCCGCCUGGGGAGUACGGCCGCAAGGCUAAAACUCAAAGGAAUUGACGGGGCCCGCACAAGCGGCGGAGCGUGCGGUUUAAUUCGACGCAACGCGCAGAACCUUACCAGGGCUUGACAUGCACCUGCAGAGCGCCGAAAAGGCGAUGUCCUUCGAGGGUGGUGCACAGGUGCUGCAUGGCUGUCGU
Molecule: ribosomal RNA, 259 nt
Filed under: uncultured bacterium
Lineage: Bacteria
Description: partial 16S ribosomal RNA
Rfam family: Bacterial small subunit ribosomal RNA
Source: RNAcentral